Molecule: ribosomal RNA, 496 nt
Filed under: uncultured bacterium
Lineage: Bacteria
Description: partial 16S ribosomal RNA
Rfam family: Bacterial small subunit ribosomal RNA
Source: RNAcentral
GACGAACGCUGGCGGCGUGCCUAAUACAUGCAAGUUGAGCGCUGAAGGUUGGUACUUGUACCGACUGGAUGAGCAGCGAACGGGUGAGUAACGCGUGGGGAAUCUGCCUUUGAGCGGGGGACAACAUUUGGAAACGAAUGCUAAUACCGCAUAAAAACUUUAAACACAAGUUUUAAGUUUGAAAGAUGCAAUUGCAUCACUCAAAGAUGAUCCCGCGUUGUAUUAGCUAGUUGGUGAGGUAAAGGCUCACCAAGGCGAUGAUACAUAGCCGACCUGAGAGGGUGAUCGGCCACAUUGGGACUGAGACACGGCCCAAACUCCUACGGGAGGCAGCAGUAGGGAAUCUUCGGCAAUGGACGAAAGUCUGACCGAGCAACGCCGCGUGAGUGAAGAAGGUUUCGGAUCGUAAAACUCUGUUGGUAGAGAAGAACGUUGGUGAGAGUGGAAAGCUCAUCAAGUGACGGUAACUACCCAGAAAGGGACGGCUAACUACGUG